This 343-nucleotide ribosomal RNA is filed under the name uncultured Pseudomonadota bacterium. RNAcentral describes it as "bacterial SSU rRNA". It matches the Rfam family "Bacterial small subunit ribosomal RNA", at positions 29 to 351 of the family's 1533-position model. Lineage: Bacteria; Pseudomonadati; Pseudomonadota. The record is from RNAcentral.
AAUGAACGCUGGCGGCGUGCAUAACACAUGCAAGUCGAACGAGAAACCCCGGGCUUGCUCGGGGGAGUAAAGUGGCGCACGGGUGAGUAACGCGUGGGUAACCUACCCCUGAAUCUGGAAUAACCCGCCGAAAGGCGGACUAAUACCGGAUAUUGUCUCGGAGACGCAUGUCUUCGGGAUGAAAGGUGACCUCUUCACGAAAGUUGUCGUUUAGGGAGGGGCUCGCGUACCAUUAGCUAGUUGGUAGGGUAAUGGCCUACCAAGGCAACGAUGGUUAGCUGGUCUGAGAGGAUGAUCAGCCACACUGGAACUGGAACACGGUCCAGACUCCUACGGGAGGCUG